AUGUUUUCUUACUCUGCAAUCCAGGGUCUAUCCCACUGCAUGCUAUGUUUCAAACAAUCUGGUCCACUGAAGGCAAGGGGAUCUUUCAGCAUUUACAGGGGCGAAAAACACUCAACACAUGUUAGUGCCAGUUCAAAGUUGUUGCUUUUUCCCCUUGAAACAAAGAAGCAUUAUGAAGUCAACAAAACUGUUUCCACAUCAUGGAUAGAUUGGCAUGCAAUCUUCUCAAAAAGAGUCGGAGGAGAGAAGUCAAAAGAAGAAUCAAAGGUUGUGUCUUUGGAUGUGAAGGAGAAUGGUGUUCUUCACAGCCAUAGAAAAUGGAAGAGGUAAAGGUUUUGCAGGUUCUAGGAGAACAGUUCCAGACGUUUUAACACUUGAAAAUUGUCAUCUGCAGAAAUCAGCAGUGUUGCACUCACAGUAAGCUUGAGUUUUUAUGCCUUUCUUCUAUGUGACUGGUCAUCAGGCCAGGAACUGUCUCAUCUACUUCUUCUCCAUUUUUAAUGUG
Molecule: long non-coding RNA, 505 nt
Filed under: Anas platyrhynchos platyrhynchos (common mallard)
Lineage: Eukaryota; Metazoa; Chordata; Aves; Anseriformes; Anatidae
Description: lncRNA (ENSAPLG00000025727.1)
Source: RNAcentral